CGCAGACCCUCUGGCACCCUGUGCAUUUGGGACUUCGCACACUAUGUCUCGUCUGCGGCCUCCACUGGACAAUGAGACCUGUUCUUGGGGAAGAUCCCGACUAAGCCAUUUUCCAGUGGCACCUCUUCCACCAUGAGUUCCUGAGGCAGUCCGAUGGGGCUACUUUAUUCCAGAACAAUCACAGUGAGACCUCUUCUCCCAAUAAAUGCCCCUUUUCUCUCCUUAA
Long non-coding RNA from Pan troglodytes (chimpanzee), 226 nucleotides. RefSeq lists it as uncharacterized. The transcript has 2 exons. Lineage: Eukaryota; Metazoa; Chordata; Mammalia; Primates; Hominidae. The record is from RefSeq and is a predicted model, not a curated record.